Molecule: ribosomal RNA, 494 nt
Filed under: uncultured bacterium
Lineage: Bacteria
Description: partial 16S ribosomal RNA
Rfam family: Bacterial small subunit ribosomal RNA
Source: RNAcentral
GACGAACGCUGGCGGCGUGCCUAAUACAUGCAAGUAGAACGCUGAAGGAGGAGCUUGCUCUUCUGGAUGAGUUGCGAACGGGUGAGUAACGCGUAGGUAACCUGCCUGGUAGCGGGGGAUAACUAUUGGAAACGAUAGCUAAUACCGCAUAAGAGUAGAUGUUGCAUGACAUUUGCUUAAAAGGUGCAAUUGCAUCACUACCAGAUGGACCUGCGUUGUAUUAGCUAGUUGGUGGGGUAACGGCUCACCAAGGCGACGAUACAUAGCCGACCUGAGAGGGUGAUCGGCCUCACUGGGACUGAGACACGGCCCAGACUCCUACGGGAGGCAGCAGUAGGGAAUCUUCGGCAAUGGACGGAAGUCUGACCGAGCAACGCCGCGUGAGUGAAGAAGGUUUUCGGAUCGUAAAGCUCUGUUGUAAGAGAAGAACGAGUGUGAGAGUGGAAAGUUCACACUGUGACGGUAUCUUACCAGAAAGGGACGGCUACUACGUG